ACGAUAACGGCGUCGAGCGGCGGACGGGUGAGUAAUGCCUAGGAAAUUGCCCUGAUGUGGGGGAUAACCAUUGGAAACGAUGGCUAAUACCGCAUGAUGCCUACGGGCCAAAGAGGGGGACCUUCGGGCCUCUCGCGUCAGGAUAUGCCUAGGUGGGAUUAGCUAGUUGGUGAGGUAAGGGCUCACCAAGGCGACGAUCCCUAGCUGGUCUGAGAGGAUGAUCAGCCACACUGGAACUGAGACACGGUCCAGACUCCUACGGGAGGCAGCAGUGGGGAAUAUUGCACAAUGGGCGCAAGCCUGAUGCAGCCAUGCCGCGUGU
RNAcentral lists this ribosomal RNA (322 nucleotides) under Vibrio alginolyticus. RNAcentral describes it as "bacterial SSU rRNA". It matches the Rfam family "Bacterial small subunit ribosomal RNA", at positions 79 to 404 of the family's 1533-position model. RNAcentral also lists the same sequence under 3 other names. Lineage: Bacteria; Pseudomonadati; Pseudomonadota; Gammaproteobacteria; Vibrionales; Vibrionaceae. The record is from RNAcentral.